RNAcentral lists this ribosomal RNA (118 nucleotides) under Entolomataceae sp. RNAcentral describes it as "partial large subunit ribosomal RNA". The record is from RNAcentral. Lineage: Eukaryota; Fungi; Basidiomycota; Agaricomycetes; Agaricales; Entolomataceae.
CGGGAAAAGCUCAAAUUUAAAAUCUGGUGGUCUUUGGCUGCCCGAGUUGUAAUCUAGAGAAGCAUUAUCCGCACUGGACCAUGUAUAAGUCUCCUGGAAUGGAGCGUCAUAGAGGGUG